AUACGGAAGGUCCGGGCGUUAUCCGGAUUUAUUGGGUUUAAAGGGAGCGCAGGCGGAGAUGCAAGCGUGACGUCAAAUUUCGGGGCUCAACCCCGUCUCGCGUCGCGAACUGCGUCCCUUGGUUGCGGGAAGGGGAGGCGGAACUCGUGGGGUAGCGGUGAAAUGCAUAGAUAUCACGAAGAACUCCGAUCGCGAAGGCAGCCUUCCGGCCCGUCAACGACGCUCAUGCUCGAAGGUGCGGGUAUCAAACAGGAUUAGAUACCCUGGUAGUCCGCACAGUAAACGAUGGACACCCGCGGUUUGGCCUGUAUGGCUGAGCCGCCAAGCGAAAGCGUUAAGUGUCCCACCUGGGGAGUACGCCGGCAACGGUGAAACUCAAAGGAAUUGACGGGG
RNAcentral lists this ribosomal RNA (393 nucleotides) under uncultured bacterium. Its description in RNAcentral is "partial 16S ribosomal RNA". It matches the Rfam family "Bacterial small subunit ribosomal RNA", at positions 523 to 918 of the family's 1533-position model. The record is from RNAcentral.